AACACGUGGGUAACCUGCCUGUAAGACUGGGAUAACUCCGGGAAACCGGAGCUAAUACCGGAUAGUUCCUUGAACCGCAUGGUUCAAGGAUGAAAGACGGUUUCGGCUGUCACUUACAGAUGGACCCGCGGCGCAUUAGCUAGUUGGUGAGGUAACGGCUCACCAAGGCGACGAUGCGUAGCCGACCUGAGAGGGUGAUCGGCCACACUGGGACUGAGACACGGCCCAGACUCCUACGGGAGGCAGCAGUAGGGAAUCUUCCGCAAUGGACGAAAGUCUGACGGAGCAACGCCGCGUGAGUGAUGAAGGUUUUCGGAUCGUAAAGCUCUGUUGUUAGGGAAGAACAAGUGCAAGAGUAACUGCUUGCACCUUGACGGUACCUAACCAGAAAGCCACGGCUAACUACGUGCCAGCAGCCGCGGUAAUACGUAGGUGGCAAGCGUUGUCCGGAAUUAUUGGGCGUAAAGGGCUCGCAGGCGGUUUCUUAAGUCUGAUGUGAAAGCCCCCGGCUCAACCGGGGAGGGUCAUUGGAAACUGGGAAACUUGAGUGCAGAAGAGGAGAGUGGAAUUCCACGUGUAGCGGUGAAAUGCGUAGAGAUGUGGAGGAACACCAGUGGCGAAGGCGACUCUCUGGUCUGUAACUGACGCUGAGGAGCGAAAGCGUGGGGAGCGAACAGGAUUAGAUACCCUGGUAGUCCACGCCGUAAACGAUGAGUGCUAAGUGUUAGGGGGUUUCCGCCCCUUAGUGCUGCAGCUAACGCAUUAAGCACUCCGCCUGGGGAGUACGGUCGCAAGACUGAAACUCA
RNAcentral lists this ribosomal RNA (806 nucleotides) under Bacillus pumilus. RNAcentral describes it as "bacterial SSU rRNA". It matches the Rfam family "Bacterial small subunit ribosomal RNA", at positions 112 to 903 of the family's 1533-position model. The record is from RNAcentral. Lineage: Bacteria; Bacillati; Bacillota; Bacilli; Caryophanales; Bacillaceae.